RNAcentral lists this transfer RNA (67 nucleotides) under human gut metagenome. It matches the Rfam family "tRNA". From Rfam's summary of the family: Transfer RNA (tRNA) molecules are approximately 80 nucleotides in length. Their secondary structure includes four short double-helical elements and three loops (D, anti-codon, and T loops). The record is from RNAcentral.
GCGAUAGCGCAGUCUGGUAGCGCAUCUGGUUUGGGACCAGAGGGUCGUGGGUUCGAAUCCCACUCGC